RNAcentral lists this non-coding RNA (158 nucleotides) under uncultured Gemmiger sp. Its description in RNAcentral is "Lysine riboswitch". It matches the Rfam family "Lysine riboswitch aptamer", at positions 10 to 171 of the family's 182-position model. Rfam says of the family: Riboswitches are metabolite binding domains within certain messenger RNAs that serve as precision sensors for their corresponding targets. Allosteric rearrangement of mRNA structure is mediated by ligand binding, and this results in modulation of gene expression. Lineage: Bacteria; Bacillati; Bacillota; Clostridia; Eubacteriales; Oscillospiraceae. The record is from RNAcentral.
CAGAGGCGCGAAGCGCAUCAGUACCUUGCUUUUUUCCAACGCCCAGCCGGGGCACGGGGCAAGCGAAAGGGUCCUUCGCCGAAGGCGGUACGCGGCACGUACCGGCCUGGGCCCGCGGCCGAACAGGCGCGGGACUGUCACACCUGCGGUGUGUUGCG